RNAcentral lists this unclassified non-coding RNA (336 nucleotides) under soil metagenome. RNAcentral describes it as "partial contains 5.8S ribosomal RNA, internal transcribed spacer 2, and large subunit ribosomal RNA". The stretch from base 1 to 120 matches the Rfam family "5.8S ribosomal RNA", at positions 35 to 154 of the family's 154-position model. The record is from RNAcentral.
GAUGAAGAACGCAGCGAAAUGCGAUAAGUAGUGUGAAUUGCAGAAUUCAGUGAAUCAUCGAAUCUUUGAACGCACAUUGCGCCCCUUGGUAUUCCAUGGGGCAUGCCUGUUCGAGCGUCAUUUGUACCUUCAAGCUUUGCUUGGUGUUGGGUGUUUGUCUCGCCUUUGCGUGUAGACUCGCCUUAAAAUAAUUGGCAGCCGGCGUAUUGAUUUCGGAGCGCAGUACAUCUCGCGCUUUGCACUCAUAACGACAGCGUCCAAAAGUACAUUUUACACUCUUGACCUCGGAUCAGGUAGGGAUACCCGCUGAACUUAAGCAUAUCAAUAAGUGGAGGA